Molecule: ribosomal RNA, 253 nt
Filed under: uncultured bacterium
Lineage: Bacteria
Description: partial 16S ribosomal RNA
Rfam family: Bacterial small subunit ribosomal RNA
Source: RNAcentral
UACGUAGGACCCAAGCGUUAUCCGGAUUUACUGGGCGUAAAGCGUGCGUAGACGGCCUGUUAAGUGGGACGUGAAAUCCGACGGCUCAACCGUUGGACUGUGUCCUAUACUGGCAGGCUAGAGGACGGCAGAGGCCAGUGGAACUUGCGGUGUAGCAGUGAAAUGCGUAGAUAUCGCAAAGAACACCAAUGGCGAAGGCAGCUGGCUGGGCCGUCCCUGACGUUGAGGCACGAAAGCGUGGGGAGCGAACAGG